AGACGGGGCCCCUGCGACAGUCUACAAGACAGACAGGGCCCCUGCCCUUUGGACAUCCAUCUGAGUGGGAAAGACAGACAACAAACAGGAAAAAGGGGGUCCUGGCUGAGGAGCUGGUUGGGAGGAGCAUUCUAAUAUGGGAGGGUCUUCUGGGCUUGCAGAGUGCUGUGGAAGUGAGCAGGGAGAUGGGCUCAGAGAGGCCAGCAAAUGCGAAAGGAGGUGUGAGCAUCGUGGAGCUCCAUGAAGACAGGGACCAUGGCCCAUUUGCCCUCCUGGAAUCCUCAGUGCCUGGUCCAGAGCAAGAGCUCAUUAAACAUUGAAGGAACGAAUGAAUGAAUAAGUGAAAUAAUGCUGACUGAGAUAUGGGACAGAGCUGGGGGCUUCAGAGCUGGCCUUGCCUCUGUGGUGCCCCCUGCCAUCCACUGUUCCACGGGAGAUGGACGUCAGCCCCACACUGGCUAGCUCUGUUCCACUCACAUUCAUUCUCUGGUGUUUCCCAGUCCUCCCCCAGAGCCACCGCCUCCAGCCUCCCCUGGCUCAGGGCCAGGCAGCUCUAUCCUCCUGCCGGCUCCUCACUUGGCAGUUUGUCGAGUGGAGACAUCAAGUGGUCAGACCUUGGAAUGGCAGCGGUCAAGCUGAAGAUGGGGAGUGACUGAGCCCUCAUUCAGGAGGACUGAUCCAGCCACAGAUGGGUCUUGACCCUGUGUCCACACUGAACCUUAUCUUGGCUGAGCCCAGACUCCAGCCCGAGAACAAACUCUAACCCUGGUCACAGACUGAGGCCCUGUGCCCCCAAAUACCCCUAAUUUAAAAUUUGUGCUGUAAUGACCUGACACCACUUAAAAAACCUUUUUAUUGAAAUGUAACAUAACAUUGCGAAAAGUGCCCACGUCACAAGAAUUUUCAGGAACUAAACACAUCCAUGUAAUCGAUGCUCACUGCCAGCAUCCCAGUAGCCUUCUCGCAUACCCUUCCAGUCACAACCUCCCAAGGCAAACACUCUCCUGCCUUCUAGCAGCAUAUCUUAAGUUUUGUCUGUUUUCAUGCUUCUAUAUGUUUGAAAUCAUACACUAUAUCCCUUCUGACAUCUGAUUUCUUUUGCUCACCAUUGUGUUGGUAAAAUUAAUCCAUAUUUCUCUGUGUAGUGGUUGAUAGUUCAUACACACUGGUGCCCACUGUUUUACCAACCCACUGAGAAUCUAGCCAAAGGGGUUGAACCCACAUCCGAUCAAGCCUCUGGAUCCAGCUGCCAACUUGCAGGAAGCACAGAGGCAAAAAUUUAUACAUCUCCCAAACCCAUAAACUCAUAAAGGACCACUUCCAUCACUUAACUGCUUGUUCUUAGUAACCCUUAUCUGAAUAGGUAUUUUGUAGCACUUAACUUUGGAGAAUUCACCAGAAAAUAACUGUUUUUACUAAACUGGGCUUCAGCAUUAUACUGUGGGCCUUCAUCAAGAAGAAUUAUGAGAAACAGCCCUAGGAAACCGGUUGCUGGAUUUACCAUCAGGAUCUUGCUGAGGACAGUGUUCAUUCAUUUUGUUCACAGUAGCCUCUCCAUGAGAACUCCAGAAUAAAUUUCUUCCGCAUCCUAAUAAUAUGAAUAGAUAUUUCCCCACAGAGGAAAUGGUUUUACUUUCAGCUAACAGGGCUUUUGAAUCAUGUGAUGGAUCUUGUUUCCCUUUUCACAAUGGUUGCUAGGAAGCUCAGAGUCAGAUUUGUGACCCAUGCCUAGGACUGGGUGAGCUGUGUUGUCUGCACUAAACUCACCCCUGGUUGUUCUUAACUUUCCUUCUCCCAUUUCCUUUUUGUCCCUAUUUCUUCACCUUCCUAUUUUUUGCCUUUUUACUCUUGAAUUGUUAGUUUUUGGGGGAUGCAGUGAGGUGGCCACCUCAGGAACAUAGAAAUGAGAGUAACAAGGGUGUCUAUGAGAGUUAAAUGCAAGGAUCAGCCCAGUCUGUUUGGAGCAGAGAAGUGCAAAGUCUCCAGAUGGAGACAGGACAGCUUCCUGGCACAACACUUGAUUGUAACCUGGGUUUGUGUGGUCCCCAGCAGUGUCCUCGUUCCCCAGCACGGCCUUCUCUCCACACUCCUACCCCACAAUUAACAGACUAAGUUCUGAUCUUGAUAUUUGACCGACUUCCCCCUUCAGACUGUGAGGGUUGCCCACUUCCUAUGUGUGUGUGUGUCCUGCAAUCAAGUGCAACAAUCAACCUGCUACUUAAACAAGAGGAGAUUUAGGACUUUCAGCUAAAAGAACCAUUUUUACAAGAGGGACACUUGAUUGGUUCCUAGCUGUGGUAGCUUACAAGGACUGGGGGCUGGAGGGUCUCCUGAGCAUCUCUGCCUUGUCUUCCUGCACUGUCUCUGUGGCUGGGAGUCCGGACCCAGAGCCAGCAAGUCAGAUAAAGCAGGAGAGGGCGACAUGAUCUGGGCCCCUGGGCACGCCAGUGUUUUCUUUGUUUGCGUCUCUUUUAUACUUUCUGCAGAGCUGGAAGGCAGCUUUUCAAAAUGGCCAUUGCUUCUUUGGGCCAUCUCAGUAGGUAAAGAAACGGUCUUUCUAAUCGCAAGUGAGCAAGGAGGUGUCACAAAGUCUUCCACAUUUCCCCCAGCAGGCAAAGCUCAGUGCUGGCUGCUGUCCUUAACCCUUGCCCCUUGGCUGGUGUCACAGGUGAACAUUAGGACCACAGAGAGUGAGCAUAAUGUCUUGUCUAAACUUUGUAAGGAUCCAAAGGGAUGAUUCACUUUAUCUUCUGAUAGGACAUUUUGUCAAAAUUUCUUUGGACUGGGAAGCAGGGCUGUUUUCCUGGUCAUAAGGGCCCCCCUUGGUAGAGCAGACAGCAGGGGACUCAGCAUCCUAGGAGUUUCUAACGAUGGCCUCCGUGCUAGGCAGAAUAAUGGUCUCCCCAGAUAGCUGCAUCUUAACCCUAGGAAUUUGUGACUGUGUUGCCUCACGUGGCAGAAGGCACUCUGCAGACGUGAUUAGGUUAAGGAUCCUGAGAUGGGAACUUUAGCCUGGAUUAUCCAGGUGGGCCCAAUGGAAUCACAAAGUCCUGGUAAGAGGCAGGCAGGGUCAAAGUCAGAGAAGGAGAAAUAAGGACAGGAAGCAGAGUCCUGUGAUGCAACUGCUGGCUUAAAGAGGCAUGAGGGCCAUGAGCCAUGGAAUGUGGGCAGCUACUAGAAGCUGGAAAGGCCAGGAUCAGAUUCUACUCGGAGCCUCCAGAAGGAAGACGGCUCUGCUGGCCCCUUGAUUUCAGGGACAGAGGAGUGCCUCUUUGCCUGGGCGAGGCCUGGUCAUCCUUCAGAUCUCAGCUCAACACAUUGCCUUUCCAGGGAUGGCUUUUCUGACCCCCGGGCCAGAUCAGAAAAUCGUCACAGAGACCAAUUAAGAAGCUUGCAUGUAAAAAGUGGCAGAGCUGGGAUCCGAACCCUGGCAGUCUGGCUCUGGACACCACCUCUUGCCCAUCGCCCUCCACUGCUGUGCUGAUCUGUCGUCCUUCCCUCCCACUGCCAGUUCCCCUUUCCGUCCAACAGUUACUUAUUGAUCAGUCGCUCUGUUCCAAGCACUGUGCCAGUAGGGCCCAGCCCUUGUGGAGGUGACAGUCUGUCAGGUGGAGCCCUGGCUCUGCCAUGUCCUGAUCCCGUGACCUUGGAGAAGUCAUUUAACUUCGCUGUGUCUCAGUGUCUUCGUGAUGACAUGGUGUGAUAGUCCCGGUCUCCUCAGGCUGUGGGGAAGAUGGAGUGACUCAAAGCUGCGGAAAGCUGGGGCCGGGCACACGGAGGGCAUGGGAAGCAUGAGUGUAAUCCUAUUGGUGUCAUACUGGAGAAGCUCUUCCAACCCACGGGGCCUGGCCGCCAAGUGGAAGAGUGGAAGCAGCAGCAAGCCAGAGCCCGACACCCUGGCCUUAAGCCCUGGCUUUGGCACCGUGACUGUCCCAAACAUGGGAUUUUGGACAAGCUGCUUCGUCUUUCUGAUUUUUUUCCUCUGUAAAACAGGAAUGACUAAUACCAACCUUGUGGUGUCCUUGUGGUUGUUCAAUGAAGUAACAAGGCUGAGAGCUUGGCACAUAAUAGGGGCCUUUGGAAGAUUUCGUUUCCUGUCCUCUAGAGGAAUCGGGAGGCGGAAUAGCCCAGGGGUCAGCACAUCUGGAGGUCUGACGUGUCCCCUUCUCCCAGGGAAGGCCCCGACCUGACACGCUGCAGGAUGCUGUUUUCUUCUUUCGCUUCCUUUCUUUGUUCCUGUUCGAAUUUCGUUUCUUGAGAAAGAAGAGUGUUUCACACAGCCCCGCCCAUGCAUGGGGCUCUGUGUUAACUGUCCUGGUGCCUGGCAGAGGGCUCCGUCUUGGUCUUUUGUCCCCCAGGGCAGAUGGAGGACAGUUGGUGGGUGUGGGGUCGCAGGGCUGCUCUGCUCGUAAGGCCCCGAGAAACCAGAGGGCAGGCUGGGAGCUGAGGGCUGAGAGGCAGCUGAGGACUGGGAAGCCCCGUCUGGUCCAGCCUCCUCCAAGGUCAAGGGGUGUCCUGGCCCCCCUCUCUCCCCUCCCAU
RNAcentral lists this long non-coding RNA (4540 nucleotides) under Equus caballus (horse). Its description in RNAcentral is "lncRNA (ENSECAG00000053350.1)". The record is from RNAcentral. Lineage: Eukaryota; Metazoa; Chordata; Mammalia; Perissodactyla; Equidae.